GAUGAACGCUGGCGGCGUGCUUAACACAUGCAAGUCGAACGGAAAGGCCCUGCUCUUGCUCGUUGCUCGAUUGGCGAACGGGUGAGUAACACGUGUGUAACCUCCCCUUGUCUUUCGGAUAACUUCAGGAAACUCGGGCUAAUACCCGAUAGGAUCUCCUGCUGCAUGGUGGUGGUUGGAAAGUUUCGGCGGUUGGGGAUGGACUCGCUGCUUAUCAGCUUGUUGGUGGGGUAGUGGCUUACGAAGGCUUUGACGGGUACGCGGCCUGAGAGGGUGACCGGGCACAUGAGGACUGAGAUACGGAGCAGAAUGGUACGGGAGGCAGCAGUGGGGAAUAUUGCGCAAUGGGCGGAAGCGUGAUGCAGAAACGCCGCGUGCGGAAUAACGUCCUUCGGGUUGUAAACCGCUUUCGACUGUGACGAAGCGUGAGUGACGGUAAUGGGUAAGGAAGCACCGGCUAACUACGUG
Molecule: ribosomal RNA, 468 nt
Filed under: uncultured bacterium
Lineage: Bacteria
Description: partial 16S ribosomal RNA
Rfam family: Bacterial small subunit ribosomal RNA
Source: RNAcentral